This 22-nucleotide non-coding RNA is filed under the name Arabidopsis thaliana (thale cress). Lineage: Eukaryota; Viridiplantae; Streptophyta; Magnoliopsida; Brassicales; Brassicaceae. The record is from RNAcentral.
UAUUCGAAGUUUCAGUGACUUA